GGAGGUAUAGCUCAGUGGUAGAGCGCGUGCCUAGCAUGCAUGAGGUCAUGGGUUCAAUCCCUAGUACGUCAG
This 72-nucleotide transfer RNA is filed under the name Camelus dromedarius (Arabian camel). It matches the Rfam family "tRNA". From Rfam's summary of the family: Transfer RNA (tRNA) molecules are approximately 80 nucleotides in length. Their secondary structure includes four short double-helical elements and three loops (D, anti-codon, and T loops). Lineage: Eukaryota; Metazoa; Chordata; Mammalia; Artiodactyla; Camelidae. The record is from Rfam by way of RNAcentral. RNAcentral also lists the same sequence under 1 other name.